UUAUUGCCCGAUGGAUGGGCCCGCGUUGGAUUAGCUUGUUGGUGGGGUAAUGGCCUACCAAGGCGACGAUCCAUAGCUGGUCUGAGAGGACGAUCAGCCACACUGGGACUGAGACACGGCCCAGACUCCUACGGGAGGCAGCAGUGGGGAAUCUUGCACAAUGGGCGAAAGCCUGAUGCAGCCAUGCCGCGUGAGUGAAGAAGGCCCUAGGGUUGUAAAGCACUUUCAAUCGUGAAGAAAAGCUUACGGUUAAUACCCGUAAGUAUUGACGUUAACGAUACAAGAAGCACCGGCUAACUCCGUG
Molecule: ribosomal RNA, 304 nt
Filed under: uncultured bacterium
Lineage: Bacteria
Description: bacterial SSU rRNA
Rfam family: Bacterial small subunit ribosomal RNA
Source: RNAcentral